CUAGUUUCUAAAUAAGCUUUCAAAGGCUAACAAUUUCUCUAGAUGAGAUCCAAAGGAGCGCGAGCAACUUCUAACGGAGAACGGAAUAGCACAGUUAGAAAGAUUAUAUACAGAUUCUGAUUCAAGGACGCAGCAUUUGUUGAACAAAGAAUAUAACUGGAAUAUUCUGGAAGAUCUUCCUAUCAAUUGACCUUGACUUUAUGGUUCUGCAAGAAAGAGUAACUUACAACAGAAUCAAUGGAAGAUGCAUUCAAGCAUGAAUUUAAAAAUUGCAAUUGACCCUGACUUCAGAAUAAGCCUGUUUAAUUCUAUACCACAGGACUUGCCUACCUAACACCAUCACAAAAAUUUGUACCCAUAAGUACAUAGGUCAUACAUACAGCAAUCAAAAAGAGAGAGAGAAUCUCAACAUUUCUGCCAUAGACAUUUCUUGAUACCUUCUUCACUAGGAUGAUGAUGAUGAUGAAGAAGACAUGAAUCGCAUGUGCAUGGCUUGUGAGAGACUUGUCAACCGUAUUGAACCAUCUCAUGGUUGCCUUUCUUUAUUAGUUUAAGUCAAAUAAACAAUCCAUUCAGCAUCUUACGCAAUGUUGUACAGAAUACUUCUAAUGUUUUCCACAGAAUUUUUUUUGGGCGAUUGUGGCUGACUUAAUUUUCUGAUAAAAUCAUAACCAUGUGCAAUUAUCUUGAAGCACUAUUAUAAAGAUUGGCCUGAGUUGAAAAUGAAAAGAGUAAAACCCAACAAGUUGAAAUCAAUUAAAAUUACAUACCCAUAAUUUCAGCUCUAAAAAUUAUCAUCAAUCACUCCAUCCUUCCAUACCAUUAUAUUUCAGCAUAAAAUGCCGCUUUCUAUGAACAAGCAAGCCUUCAUGGGUCAAUGGAAGCUGCACAUCUUCAAGCCUCAAUUUUAAAAUUGCAAUUGACCUUGACUUCAGAACAAGCCUGUUUGGUUGUGAACUGCAUAUGAGUUCCAUAUAAAAAUUGUAAACCUCCAAAUCACGAAGAGACAGAAAAUUAAAAGAGAGAUGGAAUAUCAACAUUUCAGCCAUAGACAUCUCUUGAUACCUCAUCACUUUAAUGAAGAAAGUGAAGAAAUCAAGUGCAAGGCCUGUGAAAGACUCAUCAUUGCUACUGAACCAUUUCAUGGUUGCCUUUCAUGCAAAUAUUUCCUCCAUGACCAAUGCCUCAAUCUACCUCGCUGGCUUCACCACCCAUCUCACAAUUCUCACCCACUAACACUCCUUCCUACCCCAACAUACCCUUAUGGGUCCUAUUCAUGCAAUGCAUGUGGGGUUCCUGGAAGCUCCUUCAGCUUUAGCUGUGCUGAAUGUGAGUUUGAUUUGCAUACCCAUUGUGCCAAUUUGCCUAGCACAGUAGUUAUUGAUGCACACCCUCAUGAGCUUAAACUCACCUUUGAUGUUCCUUAUGAUGGGAACAUUUCCAUUGUGUGUGAUGUGUGCGGUGGUGGAGUGGACAAGCGUUUUUGGAUCUACAAAUGUGUUGAUUGUGGGUUUGAUUGCCAUUUGAACUGUGUGAAGACUGAUCAAGGGACAGGAUUAAAUCAAAACCAGCCAGAUACAGCGGGUGGGCAACCAAUAAGAGUUAAUGAUGCAUUGGAUCCAAUUAGGCAAGCAGCAAACCAGAUGAUGGAAGAUCAGCUUGAGAUGAUGAGAUUGCAAAAUCAGUUGAACAGGACCAGGAUGAUGGCAAAUCUGAUGACUUGGGCAUGGCGUUGACUUGAUUACAUCAGCUGUGCUUAAGGUAUUCCGUUAGC
Molecule: unclassified non-coding RNA, 1774 nt
Filed under: Hevea brasiliensis (rubber tree)
Lineage: Eukaryota; Viridiplantae; Streptophyta; Magnoliopsida; Malpighiales; Euphorbiaceae
Source: RNAcentral